UGAGGGGGGCUGCUCCUAGUACGAGAGGACCGGAGUGGACGCAUCACUGGUGUUCGGGUUGUCAUGCCAAUGGCACUGCCCGGUAGCUAAAUGCGGAAGAGAUAAGUGCUGAAAGCAUCUAAGCACGAAACUUGCCCCGAGAUGAGUUCUCCCUGACUCCUUGAGGGUCCUGAAGGAACGUUGAAGACGACGACGUUGAUAGGCCGGGUGUGUAAGCGCAGCGAUGCGUUGAGCUAACCGGUACUAAUGAACCGUGAGGCUUAACCUUACAACGCCGAAGCUGUU
RNAcentral lists this ribosomal RNA (285 nucleotides) under Escherichia coli. RNAcentral's name for it is "partial 23S ribosomal RNA". It matches the Rfam family "Bacterial large subunit ribosomal RNA", at positions 2663 to 2925 of the family's 2925-position model. Lineage: Bacteria; Pseudomonadati; Pseudomonadota; Gammaproteobacteria; Enterobacterales; Enterobacteriaceae. The record is from RNAcentral.